This 465-nucleotide ribosomal RNA is filed under the name uncultured bacterium. RNAcentral describes it as "partial 16S ribosomal RNA". It matches the Rfam family "Bacterial small subunit ribosomal RNA", at positions 28 to 507 of the family's 1533-position model. The record is from RNAcentral.
GACGAACGCUGGCGGCGUGCUUAACACAUGCAAGUCGAACGGAAAGGCCCCUUUGGGGGUACUCGAGUGGCGAACGGGUGAGUAACACGUGAGUAACCUGCCCUUGACUUCGGGAUAACUUCAGGUAACUGGGGCUAAUACCGGAUAGGAAUCCUUGCUGCAUGGUGGGGGUUGGAAAGCUUCGGCGGUUUUGGAUGGACUCGCGGCUUAUCAGCUUGUUGGUGGGGUAGUGGCUUACCAAGGCUUUGACGGGUAGCCGGCCUGAGAGGGGGACCGGCCACAUUGGGACUGGGAUACGGCCCAGACUCCUACGGGAGGCAGCAGUGGGGAAUAUUGCACAAUGGGCGGAAGCCUGAUGCAGCAACGCCGCGGGCGGGAUGACGGCCUUCGGGUUGUAAACCGCUUUCAGCAGGGGCGAAGCUUGUGGUGACGGUACCUGCAGAAGAAGCACCGGCUAACUACGUG